This 465-nucleotide ribosomal RNA is filed under the name uncultured bacterium. Its description in RNAcentral is "partial 16S ribosomal RNA". It matches the Rfam family "Bacterial small subunit ribosomal RNA", at positions 339 to 795 of the family's 1533-position model. The record is from RNAcentral.
CUACGGGGUGCUGCAGUGGGGAAUAUUGGACAAUGGGGGAAACCCUGAUCCAGCAAUGCCGCGUGUGUGAAGAAGGCCUGCGGGUUGUAAAGCACUUUCGGUUGGGAGGACUGCUUCUAGCACUAAUAUUGUUGGAAGUUGACGUUACCUUCAGAAGAAGCACCGGCUAACUCCGUGCUAGCAGCCGCGGUAAUACGGAGGGUGCAAGAGUUAAUCGGAAUUACUGGGCGUAAAGCGCGCGUAGGCGGCUAGAUCAGUCGGGUGUGAAAGCCCCGGGCUUAACCUGGGAACUGCAUCCGAUACUGUCUAGCUUGAGUACAGGAGAGGAGAGUGGAAUUCCACAUGUAGCGGUGAAAUGCGUAGAUAUGUGGAGGAACACCAAUGGCGAAGGCAGCUCUCUGGCCUGAUACUGACGCUGAGGUGCGAAAGCGUGGGGAGCAAACAGGAUUAGAUACCCCUGUAGUC